RNAcentral lists this ribosomal RNA (996 nucleotides) under uncultured bacterium. Its description in RNAcentral is "bacterial SSU rRNA". It matches the Rfam family "Bacterial small subunit ribosomal RNA", at positions 356 to 1376 of the family's 1533-position model. The record is from RNAcentral.
GGGGGAUAUUGCACAAUGGGGGAAACCCUGAUGCAGCGACGCCGCGUGGAGGAAGAAGGUUUUCGGAUUGUAAACUCCUGUCGUUAGGGACGAUAAUGACGGUACCUAACAAGAAAGCACCGGCUAACUACGUGCCAGCAGCCGCGGUAAAACGUAGGGUGCAAGCGUUGUUCGGAAUUACUGGGUGUAAAGGGAGCGCAGGCGGACCGGCAAGUUGGAAGUGAAAUCCAUGGGCUCAACCCGUGAAUUGCUUUCAAAACUGCUGGCCUUGAGUAGUGCAGAGGUAGGUGGAAUUCCCGGUGUAGCGGUGGAAUGCGUAGAUAUCGGGAGGAACACCAGUGGCGAAGGCGACCUACUGGGCACCAACUGACGCUGAGGCUCGAAAGCAUGGGUAGCAAACAGGAUUAGAUACCCUGGUAGUCCAUGCCGUAAACGAUGAUUACUAGGUGUUGGAGGAUUGACCCCUUCAGUGCCGCAGUUAACACAAUAAGUAAUCCACCUGGGGAGUACGACCGCAAGGUUGAAACUCAAAGGAAUUGACGGGGGCCCGCACAAGCAGUGGAGUAUGUGGUUUAAUUCGAAGCAACGCGAAGAACCUUACCAGGUCUUGACAUCCGAUGCAUAGUGCAGAGAUGCAUGAAGUCCUUCGGGACAUCGAGACAGGUGGUGCAUGGUUGUCGUCAGCUCGUGUCGUGAGAUGUUGGGUUAAGUCCCGCAACGAGCGCAACCCUUAUUGCCAGUUACUACGCAAGAGGACUCUGGCGAGACUGCCGUUGACAAAACGGAGGAAGGUGGGGAUGACGUCAAAUCAUCAUGCCCUUUAUGACCUGGGCUACACACGUACUACAAUGGCGUUUAACAAAGAGAAGCAAGACCGCGAGGUGGAGCAAAACUCAGAAACAACGUCUCAGUUCAGAUUGCAGGCUGCAACUCGCCUGCAUGAAGUCGGAAUUGCUAGUAAUCGCGGAUCAGCAUGCCGCGGUGAAUACGUUCCCG